GUCCAGCUGACGAGUCCCUAAUCGAACGAAACGCGCGUCCUGGAU
This is a non-coding RNA of Schistosoma margrebowiei, 45 nucleotides long. NCBI's taxonomy places the organism in Eukaryota, Metazoa, Platyhelminthes, Trematoda, Strigeidida, Schistosomatidae. The record is from Rfam.